Thalassophryne amazonica is the source of this 118-nucleotide long non-coding RNA. RefSeq lists it as uncharacterized. NCBI's taxonomy places the organism in Eukaryota, Metazoa, Chordata, Actinopteri, Batrachoidiformes, Batrachoididae. The transcript has 3 exons. The record is from RefSeq and is a predicted model, not a curated record.
AAAACAAUCGUGUAAUGGAAAGCAUAUGUACUUUGGUGUAUUCUGCAAUACUCUGUAACACUUGUAUGUAAGCAGAUAUAAAAUAGUAGGUAAUAGGAAUUUUGCUGACUGCUUCAAA